UGGCCCGUAGACGUGCAGCACUAUACCCUUUGUGACAU
This 38-nucleotide ribosomal RNA is filed under the name Colletotrichum dematium. RNAcentral's name for it is "partial 18S ribosomal RNA". Lineage: Eukaryota; Fungi; Ascomycota; Sordariomycetes; Glomerellales; Glomerellaceae. The record is from RNAcentral.